GCUAACUACGUGCCAGCAGCCGCGGUAAUACGUAGGGUGCGAGCGUUAUCCGGAAUUAUUGGGCGUAAAGAGCUCGUAGGCGGUUUGUCGCGUCUGUCGUGAAAGUCCGGGGCUUAACCCCGGAUCUGCGGUGGGUACGGGCAGACUAGAGUGCAGUAGGGGAGACUGGAAUUCCUGGUGUAGCGGUGGAAUGCGCAGAUAUCAGGAGGAACACCGAUGGCGAAGGCAGGUCUCUGGGCUGUAACUGACGCUGAGGAGCGAAAGCAUGGGGAGCGAACAGGAUUAGAUACCCCUGUAGUC
Molecule: ribosomal RNA, 300 nt
Filed under: uncultured Micrococcus sp.
Lineage: Bacteria; Bacillati; Actinomycetota; Actinomycetes; Micrococcales; Micrococcaceae
Description: bacterial SSU rRNA
Rfam family: Bacterial small subunit ribosomal RNA
Source: RNAcentral